This 789-nucleotide ribosomal RNA is filed under the name Bacillus thuringiensis. RNAcentral's name for it is "bacterial SSU rRNA". It matches the Rfam family "Bacterial small subunit ribosomal RNA", at positions 12 to 783 of the family's 1533-position model. The record is from RNAcentral. Lineage: Bacteria; Bacillati; Bacillota; Bacilli; Caryophanales; Bacillaceae.
UUUGAUUCAUGGCUCAGGACGAACGCUGGCGGCGUGCCUAAUACAUGCAAGUCGAGCGGACAGAAGGGAGCUUGCUCCCGGAUGUUAGCGGCGGACGGGUGAGUAACACGUGGGUAACCUGCCUGUAAGACUGGGAUAACUCCGGGAAACCGGAGCUAAUACCGGAUAGUUCCUUGAACCGCAUGGUUCAAGGAUGAAAGACGGUUUCGGCUGUCACUUACAGAUGGACCCGCGGCGCAUUAGCUAGUUGGUGGGGUAAUGGCUCACCAAGGCGACGAUGCGUAGCCGACCUGAGAGGGUGAUCGGCCACACUGGGACUGAGACACGGCCCAGACUCCUACGGGAGGCAGCAGUAGGGAAUCUUCCGCAAUGGACGAAAGUCUGACGGAGCAACGCCGCGUGAGUGAUGAAGGUUUUCGGAUCGUAAAGCUCUGUUGUUAGGGAAGAACAAGUGCGAGAGUAACUGCUCGCACCUUGACGGUACCUAACCAGAAAGCCACGGCUAACUACGUGCCAGCAGCCGCGGUAAUACGUAGGUGGCAAGCGUUGUCCGGAAUUAUUGGGCGUAAAGGGCUCGCAGGCGGUUUCUUAAGUCUGAUGUGAAAGCCCCCGGCUCAACCGGGGAGGGUCAUUGGAAACUGGGAAACUUGAGUGCAGAAGAGGAGAGUGGAAUUCCACGUGUAGCGGUGAAAUGCGUAGAGAUGUGGAGGAACACCAGUGGCGAAGGCGACUCUCUGGUCUGUAACUGACGCUGAGGAGCGAAAGCGUGGGGAGCGAACAGGAUUAGAU